Ictalurus punctatus (channel catfish) is the source of this 5525-nucleotide long non-coding RNA. The record is from Ensembl. NCBI's taxonomy places the organism in Eukaryota, Metazoa, Chordata, Actinopteri, Siluriformes, Ictaluridae.
AAAAAGGGGGUCGUCAAAUGGCAUCCUUGAAGAAAUACUACAGCCUUAUAGAGAAGAUAUGCCCAGAUGAAGAGAAAGCACUAAGAGGAAGUGGCAGUGAAGGGAACAGAAGAGGUGAAGUGCAAAGUGCCAUAAAAAAAAAAAAGGCUGACCCAGGAGAUUUGAUGCAGACAGGGUCCUAUGAUGUACACUACACUUCAUAACUACUAACCACUAAAGCAGAAUUCUAGAUAUGUAAAAUAACUGACGAAAAAUUAACCAUUAUUUUUAUCCUUUCAGUCCAAUUUUUCACUGCAAACAAUAAUGACAGCUGUAAUGAUUUUCAGUGCUGGCAAGUGACCAUGGCCUAAGCGGGAUACGCUUCAUGUCUGGUGGUUCUUUGCCUCCACGUCGUGCAUUAAAAUUGUGUAAUGCACUCCUAGCCAUGGAUUAUCCCUUACAUGUACCGCAGUGAAAGGUGAAAAGAUGAAAACUGUUCAAAUACAUUCUUAUGCAAAUGAAAUCAUAAAGGGAAGAUAUCAUAAUUUUAUUACACACCAUGAAUUUUACAUUUGAGACACAGGCCGGAUAUCAGAUGGCUUCAUAUUCUUUACUUAUUGCAUAUAAUCCUACUGUAUAUAGUGCACUAUUGGCCCAUUAGAAUGUCAUGUUAGAUUUAUACAAUUGCUUAUAUAUUCUGUGCGUAUAACUAUAUAACAUUUUAAACAGUUAGUAUAACAGUUAGUUCCGGUCCACUAAUUUGAUUGGUGGAGCGUCGUUCCAAGAAUGCCUGCAUUUCUUUUAGCUGCACUGUGAUGUGUCACAGCGUGUAUUACUCCGCUCGUCUGUGUGUGCCACAUAAAAUUCCACUUUCUAGAUUUCUAACUGCUAUUCCAGUAGUGUUAGCAACAUCAGCAGCGGACACAGCAAACGAUACCUUAAUAUAAUAAUAUAAUUUCUGACAAAUAUGAAAGCUCGUCAGACGAAAAUUAAAGGAAGAAGGGACAAGAAUUUUACCUGAAGCACCAUUAAUGGGAGUGUACAAAUCAAUGUUACCUAACUAUCCAGCUAGCUGACGGGCUAUAUAGUGAGUGUAGCUUCUUCUGGAUCUAUUUCCACUAGCGGAGCAAAAGUAAACAGAGCAUUUGGCCAUAAUGUGUCCGAAAUGUCACUUACUCAAAGUUCAUUUCUUGUUUAUAGAUCUGUUGUAUACCUGCAGACGAAUCACUGCCAUGCGACAUUCAGUAUAACCGCACUCUUGCUUGUGCAAUAUUGCUUAAAUAUAUACUGUACUUGUUAUCGAAUAUUUUAUGUAUAAACUGUAAAUGUGAGAAUAUGAGAAUAUGCACAAAUCAGUACAGUCUCUGUACAUUUUUGUCACAUCUCUAAAAAUCUGUGCUGUAAACAUUCCACUGUCUUGACUGUCAGGAAGUCUGUCCUCACUCCCAUGUAUGCAGCUUUAAAACAACAAAGUGUGCACACAUAUUCUCUCUCUCUCUCUGUGUCUCUCUCUCUCUCUCUCUCACGCACACACACACACACAUACACACACUGUAAAAUGCACAAGUGCCAUCGUAUUAUAAAAUACACAACUGAAGAAGUGUGUAGAGUCAUGAGCAUCUGUUUUCCUUAAUACCGACUGCUGACUGUUGGAAUGUAUGGACUAGGCAUUUGCAGAUGUUCAUUUCCUGCUUUGUUUAAAUCACAGUUUGCAAUAUUAUCACAUUAUUUUCUUUAAAAAAUUGCUUACCUCGCUGCUCAUUAAAUAAUAUCUGAAAUUGUGCAAGGUAGUGUGGUCAGCAGGUUGCAUAGUGGAGGUCCAGAUGUGAGUAACUACAAGCUGUGUGCUUCCUGUAUAAAUCUCCAUCUUUCCUGGUAUUAUUUUUCCCUGAGCUCUGUAUGGGGUCUUAUUAUGAAUAUAUGAAUAUAAGAAGGGUCAGUUAUAUUGGAUGGGCAUAAAUACAUACAAGGACAGCAAUGAAUACUUUAGAAACAUAUAUUUUGUCAUAAUAAUAAUAAUAAUAAUAAUAAUAAUAAUAAUAAUGCUACAAAUAAUAUUUAGGAAACAAUGGAACAUAUUAACAUGAGAAUAUAGAACCCUGGAAACAGAGGGCUCUGGGAAUGAGGGACCCUAAACAUAUUGGGCCCAAAGGAUACAGGGACCUGGGAACAUACUGUGUAAUCUGGGGAGUAUGUGGCCCUGAGAACAUAGUAACCUGAGAAUAUAGAGUUCUAGGAUUUUAAGUACUUGAGAAAAUAGCACUCUAUUGGGGCAUAGGAAUAUACUGUAUGUACCUGGAAUAUAAAUGUUCUGGAAACAGGAACUAAGGACAGAGGAAGCCAUUUUAGCACUCUAUUAUGUCAUGACCUGCAAACAUGGGGGCUUGUUCGGUAAAAAAAAAGAAAAGAAGAAAAAGCAGUGGGAAAUCAAUUUUAGUAUGCAGUAUUACUGCUAGAUUUGUUACAAACCCAAUUCCAAAAAAGGUGGGACAGUAUGGAAAAUGCUAAUAAAAACAAAAGGCCGGUGAUUUGUAAAUGUACUUUGACUUGUAUUUAAACAAAAAACGUAUUAAGAUGAGGUAUUUGAUGAUUUACCAAGUCAACUGCAUAGUUUUUUGAAGAUAAACGUUUAUUUUGAAAUUGAUGCAUGCAACAUGUUCCAAAAAAAGUUGAGACGGGGCAAUUUAGGACAAAUAGCAAUGUGACGAGUUGAAAUAAGAAGGUGAAACAGGUGAGGCAAUCGUCUAAUCAGAGUAUAUAAGGAGCCUCCAAAAAAGGCCUAGUCCUUCAAGAGCAAGGAUGGGUCGAGGCUCACCAAUCUGUCAACAGAUGCAUCAGCAAGUACACUUUGAGAACAACAUUCCCAAAAGACAAAUCAGUAGGACGUUGGGCAUUUCACUUUCUACAGUGCACAAUAUAAUUAAAAGAUUCAAGGAAUCUGGUUAAAUCUCGGAGCGUAAAGGGCGAGGCCGAAAACCACUUCUGAAUGCAUGUGAUCUCUGAUCCCUCAGACAUCACGGUCUUAAAAACCGUCAUGAGUCUGUAAUGGAGAUCCUGACAUGGGCUCUGGAAUACUUUGGUAAACCUUUGUCAUUCAACACCAUUCACCUCUGCAUCCACAGAUGCAUGUUAAGGCUUUACUAUGCAAAGCAGAAGUCAUACAUCAACACUGUCCAGAAGCUCCGCCCACUUCUCUGGGCUCGGUCUCAUCUAUGAUGGACAGUAGCACAGUGGAAUCGUGUUUUGUGGUCCGAUGAGUCGACAUUUCAAAUAGUUUUUUUUACAAAACAGCUGUUGUCUUCUCCGGGCCAAAGAGGGAAAGGACCAUCCAAGCUGUUAUCAGCGUCAGGUCCAAAAGCCAGCGUCUGUUAUUGUAUGUGGGCAUGUCAGUGCCCAUGGCAUGGGUAAUUUGCACAUCUGUGAGGGCAUCAUUAAUGCUGAAAGAUAUGUACACAUUUUGGAGCAACAUACGCUGCCAUCCAGAGCAGGAACACAACCAAACCACAUUCUGUGCGUAUUACAAGCGCAUGGUUGUGUAAACAGAGAGUGCGGGUGCAAACAUGGCCUGCCUGCAGUCCUGACCUGUCCCUGAUUGAGAAUGUGUGGCGCAUUAUGAAGCUUAAAAUAAGCCAACGAAGACCCUGUACAGUUGAGCAGCUGAAGAAAUGCAUAAUGGAUGAAUGGGGGAAAUUCUGCUUACUAAACUUAACCAACUGGUGUCUUCACUCAGCGUCCAAACACUUAAUAAGUGUUAUUAAAAGAAAAGGUGAUGUUACACAGUGCUAAACAGUCGACUGUCCCAACUUUUUUGGAGUGUGUUGCAGUCAUCAGACUUGAAAUGAGUGUACAUUUUCAAUAGUAAAUUAAAUUCACAAAGUAAAACAUCUAAUAAUGUGUAAUAAUGUUAGUAUAAUUAGUAUAAUAUAAUGUAAUUCAGUAUAGCACAGGGUGAAUAGAAUUUUCAUAUUACUCUUUUUGUUAGUUUUUUUGUAUUUUCCAUACUGUCCCAACUUUUUCGGAAUUUGGGUUGUACAUUACCACAGUGUACUGUAUGUGAAGCCUUGUUGAACUAAAACACAAAUUUAUUGGGUAUUUUUGGAUGAUUUUAGGCUCUUGAGUAAUGGCUAAUCACCGACUUAUGAUCGUCAGUUAACACAAUUGUCAGUUUCCAUCCCUAUUUAAUAAUAGUAAUAUACAUAUGAACAAACUGCAGCAUAUAUUCACAGAGUGGCCUGAGUCAGCAUCUUGUAAUAGUAAAAUGUGAUCAAGCCACAAAAUAUUACCGAAAUCAAAGCAUUCCGAUACGAGGCUGAUGGGAAUAUCUCUCUAUUUCGGUUUGUUAUGGUUUUUCCUGCUGUGUUUGCCCUGUCAUUUAUACAUUUACUUCUCAAACAUUGCAGCCUGAGAGUAAAUGUGUUUGUGUGUGUGUGUGUGUGUGUGUGUGUGUGUGUGUGUGUGUUUUGAUGGUGGCUUUACAUUUUCAGGAUACUGAAGGCUUCAACUAUGCAUUUAUUAUGGGAAUUGUGUGUGUGUGUGUGUGUGUGUGUGUGUGUGUGUGUGUGUGUGUGUGUGUGUGUGUGUGUUCAUGUUCAUUACACUAGGUUCUGCUGGCCACCAACAACUUAGCUUCUUCUAUUUCUAUCUCGAAGCACAGCACAUGAGACACACAGACAGCACUCUGACUCACCAUGAUGUUUAUCUGCACCGUGUGUAUGUGUGUGUGGGUGUGUGGGUGGUAUGUUUGGGGGGUCACAAGAGGACAGUGUUUCUGUUUGCAUAGGACUGAAAGCAAUGCAACUCCAGUUCAGACACUGGCCUUCAUUAAUUUGCAGUUCCAUCCAGUAUCCCUUAAUAUUCCAGAUGUGUGGGAAUGCACAUGACAUGGGAAAGCACAGUGAACCAUGCAGUGUAAUGAAUUCCAGGAGAAUGUUAACGGGUUCAUUCUUCACUGGUCCGUUUCAGAGUAAUUACCAUUUUGCAUCCUUAUUCAUCUAUGCAUUUCCUCAAAUUAGACAGAGAAUGGAUUUGCAUAGGAGUCGCUCCAACAGCAAGGAAUUGUGUGUGGGUGAGUGGUUGUGUGGGUGGGUGGAUUAGGUGUGAUGUAUGGGUUGAGCACAGAGUGUAUUUUUCCUGAAUGAAUCCUCAUCUUUCCUUUGAUUAUUGUGGGGUUUGAUGUAUGGUGGCAUUGGUGACGUUGUACAUUGGUUGACAUCCAACAACAAAAUAAAGUCCAUCUGGAGAUGGAGCCUGGAGGAGUGGUCUGACUUGUUAAAGAGGAAUUUGUGGGUGAGAUCUACUAUCUAACAAAACUCCAAGGGGUGGUGAGAAUCACCUGGAACCCCUAUGCCACAGUGUCAUGAGAAAUCUUAGGACUGACUGGAAAGGUGUCCAGAGAUGACUGCUGCAUUCAUGCUACUGAGAGGGGCUAGGUUAAACUUGGAGAAGCUAUAACCUGGAGAAGGUACACAGUGAUGCCCAGGUAGCAGCAGCACAUAUUUCUUGGAGUGGCCUGGCUCCACAUGGGAAAGACGCUCCUCAUAGAGUGG